Molecule: ribosomal RNA, 244 nt
Filed under: uncultured Staphylococcus sp.
Lineage: Bacteria; Bacillati; Bacillota; Bacilli; Caryophanales; Staphylococcaceae
Description: partial 16S ribosomal RNA
Rfam family: Bacterial small subunit ribosomal RNA
Source: RNAcentral
CGGCGGACGGGUGAGUAACACGUGGAUAACCUACCUAUAAGACUGGGAUAACUUCGGGAAACCGGAGCUAAUACCGGAUAAUAUUUUGAACCGCAUGGUUCAAAAGUAAAAGACGGUCUUGCUGUCACUUAUAGAUGGAUCCGCGCUGCAUUAGCUAGUUGGUAAGGUAACGGCUUACCAAGGCAACGAUGCAUAGCCGACCUGAGAGGGUGAUCGGCCACACUGGAAUUGAGACACGGUCCAG